This 73-nucleotide transfer RNA is filed under the name candidate division TA06 bacterium DG_26. Its description in RNAcentral is "tRNA-Pro". It matches the Rfam family "tRNA". From Rfam's summary of the family: Transfer RNA (tRNA) molecules are approximately 80 nucleotides in length. Their secondary structure includes four short double-helical elements and three loops (D, anti-codon, and T loops). Further hydrogen bonds mediate the characteristic L-shaped molecular structure. tRNAs have two regions of fundamental functional importance: the anti-codon, which is responsible for specific mRNA codon recognition, and the 3' end, to which the tRNAs corresponding amino acid is attached (by aminoacyl-tRNA synthetases). tRNAs cope with the degeneracy of the genetic code in two manners: having more than one tRNA (with a specific anti-codon) for a particular amino acid; and 'wobble' base-pairing, i.e. permitting non-standard base-pairing at the 3rd anti-codon position. The record is from RNAcentral. RNAcentral also lists the same sequence under 1 other name.
CGGGGCGUAGCGCAGGGGAUAGCGCGCCUGCCUUGGGAGCAGGAGGUCGGUGGUUCAAAUCCACUCGCCCCGA